MicroRNA precursor from Oryza sativa Indica Group (long-grained rice), 276 nucleotides. It matches the Rfam family "MIR821 microRNA precursor family". NCBI's taxonomy places the organism in Eukaryota, Viridiplantae, Streptophyta, Magnoliopsida, Poales, Poaceae. The record is from Rfam.
AAUAUCAAUUAAAAAAAGUCAUCAACAACAAAGUUGAAUAACUCAUCAAGAUCUAAAACUUUUAUUUUGGUCAUUUCUUCAUACGACAAAGUGAUAGUAACAUUGUUCACAAAAUUGACAUAUCUCUUAUCUAGUUUUAUAAACUAUAACACAUAUAUGUAAAAUUUGUGAAUAAUAUUACUAACAUUUCGUCAGAUGAAGAAAUAACAAAAAUAAAAGUUUUAGAUCUUGAUGAGUUAUUCAACUUUGUUGUUGAUGACUUUUUCAAUUGAAAUC